AAGUCGUACAGGUCUCCGUAGGUGAACCUGCGGAGGGAUCAUUACACAAAUAUGAAGGCGGGCUGGAACCUCUCGGGGUUACAGCCUUGCUGAAUUAUUCACCCUUGUCUUUUGCGUACUUCUUGUUUCCUUGGUGGGUUCGCCCACCACUAGGACAAACAUAAACCUUUUGUAAUUGCAAUCAGCGUCAGUAACAAAUUAAUAAUUACAACUUUCAACAACGGAUCUCUUGGUUCUGGCAUCGAUGAAGAACGCAGCGAAAUGCGAUAAGUAGUGUGAAUUGCAGAAUUCAGUGAAUCAUCGAAUCUUUGAACGCACAUUGCGCCCUUUGGUAUUCCAAAGGGCAUGCCUGUUCGAGCGUCAUUUGUACCCUCAAGCUUUGCUUGGUGUUGGGCGUCUUGUCUCUAGCUUUGCUGGAGACUCGCCUUAAAGUAAUUGGCAGCCGGCCUACUGGUUUCGGAGCGCAGCACAAGUCGCACUCUCUAUCAGCAAAGGUCUAGCAUCCACUAAGCCUUUUUUUCAACUUUUGACCUCGGAUCAGGUAGGGAUACCCGCUGAACUA
This 562-nucleotide ribosomal RNA is filed under the name uncultured fungus. RNAcentral describes it as "eukaryotic LSU rRNA". The stretch from base 210 to 363 matches the Rfam family "5.8S ribosomal RNA". The record is from RNAcentral. Lineage: Eukaryota; Fungi.